Molecule: ribosomal RNA, 512 nt
Filed under: uncultured bacterium
Lineage: Bacteria
Description: bacterial SSU rRNA
Rfam family: Bacterial small subunit ribosomal RNA
Source: RNAcentral
ACCCAAUAGAUACCCAGGUAGUCCACGCCCUAAACAAUGUGCACUAGAUCGAAGGAGGUAUUGACGCCUUUUUCGGUCGAAAGUAAAAAAACGUUGAGUGCACCGCCUGGGGAGUACGGUCGCAAGGCUAAAACUCAAAGGAAUUGACGGGGGCUCACACAAGCGGUGGAGCAUGUGGCUCAAUUCGAAGCAACGCGAAGAACCUUAUCCUGGGCUUGACAUGCAUGGAUUAGUUCCUGGAAACAGGAAUGACACUCUCGUAGUGGAACAUGCACAGGUGCUGCAUGGCUGUCGUCAGCUCGUGCUGUGAAGUGUCGGGUUAAGUCCCUUAACGAGCGAAACCCCUAUUACUAGUUGCCAACGCGUUAUGGCGGGGACUCUAGUGAGACUGCCGGUGUUAAACCGGAGGAAGGUGGGGAUGACGUCAAGUCCUCAUGGCCUUUAUGCCCAGGGCUGCACACGUGCUACAAUGGUGCGGACAAAACGAUGCAAGACCGCAAGGUGGAGCAAAU